RNAcentral lists this ribosomal RNA (722 nucleotides) under uncultured Fusobacterium sp. RNAcentral describes it as "bacterial SSU rRNA". It matches the Rfam family "Bacterial small subunit ribosomal RNA", at positions 28 to 776 of the family's 1533-position model. Lineage: Bacteria; Fusobacteriati; Fusobacteriota; Fusobacteriia; Fusobacteriales; Fusobacteriaceae. The record is from RNAcentral.
GAUGAACGCUGACAGAAUGCUUAACACAUGCAAGUCAACUUGGACUUCGGUUUGGGUGGCGGACGGGUGAGUAACGCGUAAAGAACUUGCCUCACAGAUAGGGACAACAUUUGGAAACGAAUGCUAAUACCUGAUAUUAUGAUUUUAGGGCAUCCUAGGAUUAUGAAAGCUAUAUGCGCUGUGAGAGAGCUUUGCGUCCCAUUAGCUAGUUGGAGAGGUAACGGCUCACCAAGGCGAUGAUGGGUAGCCGGCCUGAGAGGGUGAUCGGCCACAAGGGGACUGAGACACGGCCCUUACUCCUACGGGAGGCAGCAGUGGGGAAUAUUGGACAAUGGACCAAGAGUCUGAUCCAGCAAUUCUGUGUGCACGAUGAAGUUUUUCGGAAUGUAAAGUGCUUUCAGUUGGGAAGAAAAAAAUGACGGUACCAACAGAAGAAGUGACGGCUAAAUACGUGCCAGCAGCCGCGGUAAUACGUAUGUCACAAGCGUUAUCCGGAUUUAUUGGGCGUAAAGCGCGUCUAGGUGGUUAUAUAAGUCUGAUGUGAAAAUGCAGGGCUCAACUCUGUAUUGCGUUGGAAACUGUGUAACUAGAGUACUGGAGAGGUAAGCGGAACUACAAGUGUAGAGGUGAAAUUCGUAGAUAUUUGUAGGAACGCCGAUGGGGAAGCCAGCUUACUGGACAGAUACUGACGCUGAAGCGCGAAAGCGUGGGUAGCAAACAGG